This 335-nucleotide unclassified non-coding RNA is filed under the name soil metagenome. RNAcentral describes it as "partial contains 5.8S ribosomal RNA, internal transcribed spacer 2, and large subunit ribosomal RNA". The stretch from base 1 to 120 matches the Rfam family "5.8S ribosomal RNA", at positions 35 to 154 of the family's 154-position model. The record is from RNAcentral.
GAUGAAGAACGCAGCGAAAUGCGAUAAGUAAUGUGAAUUGCACAAUUCAGUGAAUCAUCGAAUCUUUGAACGCACAUUGCGCCCGCCAGUAUUCUGGCGGGCAUGCCUGUUCGAGCGUCAUUUCAACCAUCAAGCCCCCGGCUUGUGUUGGGGACCUGCGGCUGCCGCAGGCCCUGAAAACCAGUGGCGGGCUCGCUAGUCACUCCGAGCGUAGUAAUACAUCUCGCUCAGGGCGUGCUGCGGGUUCCGGCCGUUAAAAAGCCUUAUUUACCCAAGGUUGACCUCGGAUCAGGUAGGAAGACCCGCUGAACUUAAGCAUAUCAAUAAGCGGAGGA